GCCCGCCUAGCUCAAUCGGCCAGAGCGUCAGACUUUUACGGAUGUUAUAUCCUUAAGUCAUCUGAAGGCUGCGAGUUCGACCCUCGCGGUGGGCU
Termitomyces sp. T159_Od127 is the source of this 95-nucleotide non-coding RNA. NCBI's taxonomy places the organism in Eukaryota, Fungi, Basidiomycota, Agaricomycetes, Agaricales, Lyophyllaceae. The record is from the annotation of a GenBank genome assembly.